This 253-nucleotide ribosomal RNA is filed under the name uncultured bacterium. Its description in RNAcentral is "partial 16S ribosomal RNA". It matches the Rfam family "Bacterial small subunit ribosomal RNA", at positions 524 to 776 of the family's 1533-position model. The record is from RNAcentral.
UACAGAGGGGGCGAGCGUUGUUCGGAAUUACUGGGCUUAAAGGGUACGUAGGCGGCGCUGUCAGUCGGGUGUGAAAUCCCACGGCUCAACCGUGGAACUGCGCCCGAUACUGCAGUGCUUGAGGGAGACAGAGGUAAGCGGAACUGAUGGUGGAGCGGUGAAAUGCGUUGAUAUCAUCAGGAACACCAGUGGCGAAAGCGGCUUACUGGGUCUCUUCUGACGCUGAGGUACGAAAGCUAGGGGAGCGAAGGGG